AUAAUUAUAUUAUAUAUGUAUAUGAUACACAUGUAUAAAAAUCAAAUUAAUUGAGGGCAUAUGUAAAAACUUUAAAAAUUAGUGUUAUUGUGAAUUCAAAUCGGUUCGCACCACUAGGUCAAACAGAAAUCAAUCGAUAAAAUGUACGUCUAUCGACGCAGCGACGACGUUUCGCGAUGACAUAUAUUACAUAAGGCGCGGAAAUCCUAUUUAAGCAGAUCACAGCUGCUUCCGCUUGGCCACAUUUUGGAUCUCUCUUAAGUAUAUAUCUCUCUUCCAUCGUGCACAUUUACGAACUACUGGUCGAUUUUUCAUUUUUUUUAUUUUUAUUAUUAACAGAAGAAAAAAAAACAUAAAUACAAAAAAUUCUAUACGAUGCCAUUUUAGCACAUUUGAGAUACGUUUGUAAAAUUUUUUUCGUAUCGAAGUAUCAUUAGAGAGUGGUUUUUGCAAAGCUUUGAAAAUUGGUCUAAGUGUCUCGUUGCGAAGUGAUAAAUUGAUCCGUUUAAUUUUUUUCGUUCGUUCCGUAAUUCAAUAUAAAUAAACGCAAAUACUCGAUUUUACUCGAAUCAUCAUCAAUCACAAAAAAAGAAAAAAGAAAAAUUAGAUUACCAAAGGAAACGAUAGAUCACAAUAUGUAUUCGAAAUGAAAUUUGAUACAUCACAAUUAAAAAAAAUUUUAUCACUUCUAUAUCGAUCGAUAACUUAGUGUCCAUUGGACAAAAAUAUAUAUUAAUUUCGAAUUAAUUUCGAAAGUUUUAAAUCCUCCGUGUUUAUGCGAUCGAUCAUCGUACGGUAUAAUCGCGUGAUUCAUUAUAUAUUAAAAAAAAAAGGAAAGGAAAUGUAACAAAGAACAAAUAUAUAAAAACGCAUAAAAUUCUUCCUAGCUAAUUAAUGUCAUAUACAUAUUAUGCAUAUAUGCGUGCGCACGUGAUACUCAUUAUCAAAUUGUUCACGAUAUCUGAAUGCUUAAAACGUGCAUCAAAUCAAAUUUGGAUAGAUAAAAAUAAAAUAAAUUAAACAUUUUUAGGUUAAGUAAUAUGACAUUUUUAAUCGAUGUAUAAAAUAUAUAUAUAUAUAUGUGUGUGUAUAUAUAUAUAUAUAUAUUUGAUAAAAAAUUGAAUAAUACUUAACCAAAUGCACAGAUAUAAUAUACUUGUUUUAAAUUAUGCGUAUGAAUUAUGCUUGAGUUAAGUAGACAGGUUAGGUCUGAGUCAGAACUGUAGUCGAUGUUUACGAGUACGUAUACAUUUCAGUCCAUAUCUUCUCUGCAUUCUCAUCAACUUUCGCGUGUCUAUAUUAAAAAUUUAUUGCGAAAUAUUCGGCAACAAAUUUUACAUUUAAUAUAAAUUUUACUAUAAAUAGAUUUUUAAAUUCCAAUAUUUAAAAAAAAUAAAUCUAAAUUUUAUUACGAAAGAUAAACUCUUUUGUUCAAUUUCAUUGCACAUUACUGAAAUUAUACGUAUAUAUAUAUAUAUGAUAAUAAAAAUUCGUGUCAAUGGAAUAAUUAGAAAAAAAAAAAGAGAAAAGCUGAUCAAAGAUUUUUUUACGACAUUACCGUUCCAAUUUCUCAAUGACAAAGAAAAUUGGUUAGAAUGAUCCAAGUUCUCCAUAAUAUAAAUAAUAAUAAUUUAUUUGUGUUCAACAUUGUGCCUCGAUCUUUCACUUCAAUAAAAUGCUUCGUUGAAAUAUGUACGCUUUUAAAGCAAAAAGAUUAAAUUGCACUUUUAAUUUAUAAUUACUUUUUAAAAUUUAAAUUCAUAUAAUUAUUAAUGGAUUUAUUAAUAAUAUGUAAAAAAUAACAGAUAAUCGUUGUUAACUUUCCAUAUUUUAUCAUCCACAAUCUAUGCUCGUGAAUUUGAAACUUUAUUAUCGACCGUGAUAAAACAAGUCUCGUCGACGAUAAUUAUUAUUACAUAACCUGUGCAGAAUAAGGGUCACAAAGUAAAAUUACACAUCAGGGAAAUUGUUAAAAAGGGAACAAUUUUUUUCGCGAAAUAGAUGGCGGAAUAGUAUCGAGUCGGUCAAUGGCCUUUCUUCAUCGAACGGAGAUCAAUGAUGGCGAGUUCACAAACUUAAACCGAGAGAGUCGAGUGUUUUCGAGUGCAGUGCACUUGAAGAACCUUGAGGUCAGCUUCCUCUUCUCGAAGAAUGAACCACGGACCUUGAAAUCGAUCGCGCAACGAAACAACGCAACGAAAACUUUGAACAUUGCCGCGUUGUUGUUGAUUUGAGAUACACAUUGAGAUUUCAGAAAGGGAAAUAAUUCAUCCACGAACAAUUUCGAAAUAAGAAUUAGAACGUAAAAAAUAACUUUCUUUCGAUCACGAAUCGUUUAUUUUUUUCCUUUUUUUACCUUCUAACUUUUUAACCUAACUUUUAUUUCGUUUUUAUCUAUCUAUCUAUUUAUUUAUUUAUUCGCAUCAUGUUAAUAUUAUAAACGAAAUAAUAAUUUGAUCUCGCUAAAAUUUACUACGAAUCGAGCUACAAACAAGCAAUAACUAAUAACUGGAACGCAUGUAUGUUUUCAAUUGAUUCGCGUGCUAUCCCCAUAUAUAUAAGCGAGGCAACCCUGCUCUUCGUAUUGUUCUCAUCGUCUGGCGUGUCCCUUCGAUGAUUCAUCCGCCACGAUGCGAAUCGAACGCUCGUUUGCCCAUGUUGUUUCUGAACGCUGUCGCUUGGCCAAAGAAUUAAUUUUUUUCUUUUUCUUUUCUUUUCGCAUAACAGUGUUCAAAAUCGGAACUGGAUCUCGAAGAAUCCUGUGAAAGGCUUAAUGAACCGCGAGGCAUCUUCAAUGAAAGUUCCAAAUGUCAGCCCAGUGUCAACAUUUUUCGCAUUCAAGAAACGCUCGAAGCAAUUUCUACGACGUUGUUAGCCGAAAAACUUCUCUCCGAGACCGCACCCUUUUUUAAACGGUUAAACGGUUCUUAUGGAACGAACGUUUUGAUACGUGUAACGUUUUAAAAUUAAUAUUCGUGCCUUAUAAUAUCGAUAACUUCGAGUCGAGAAAUUUAUAUUACGAUAAAUAUUUUUUUCAAUAUAAUAAAAUAUUUCACGUUGAUUAAAUCGAUAAAAAAUAAUUUUUAAUCCGAAUGUUCGUAUGAUAUGAUUCAGACUAGGUUGAAAUAACGAAUUAGUAGAUGAUAAAAUACUAAGAAGGAAUUGAUAAUAAGAUAAAAAUCAAUGUUACGAAAUUCUCCGUUGUUUAGUCAUCGAGAUAACGCGAAAAAUGAUCUCAUUUGAUCUUAGGUUAAGUUUUAUUUUCUUCACGAAACGGAAUAACCGCAUUUCCGACUCUUGCUCAUUAGUUAGGGAUUGACCAGGUGUUUGUCAGCUGUUUUUAUCAUACGAUACUUAUUGGCGGAAAGAGUGAACUACGGACGACAGAGAAAUAUUCAUUCAAUUAUGUAAUGAUAGUAAACAAGUAUUCUUACGUGUGUUAACACGAUUGUAUUACGAGACGGCGAAUCGACGAAGAAUUGAUAAAGAUAAUGUAGAUAUUAUUGUUUCAGCAGUAAGUUGUUAUUUUUUUUCAAAAAAAAAAAAAUUACUGAUUUUAUCCGUGUGUAAUUACACGUAAUUUCCCCAGUGUACUUCAUGAAAAUAGUAACAGAAUUAUUUUCAAUGUUACCAACCGUGGAUACAUUUUAUUACGAUUACAAUUACGAAAGUAUUCAAUUAUUUUACUAGAAAAUUUUUACAUAAAAUUAAAAAUUUAGAAAUUAGAAUUUUACGAAAUACUCUUUUACGUAUAAAGAUAAUUAAUGUCGUCAAAAGUUUGUUUCACGUUCACAAUUAAAAAAAUUCUCUGCUCUCGUUUAUUACGAGUGUAAUUUACCGAGCGAAACGUUAUUUAGACAUUUAACCUCUUAAAUUAAAAAUUUCUUGAAAAUGAAACUUUUGACUAGACGAAUAAAAUUUCCAAAAGGCGUGCAAAAUUUCACAUUGAUGACGAAUUUCAGAAAUAUUUUUUAGCUAAUAUCAUUUUAAAGAGUAUCGAAAGAUAUUUUAUCUAUCGGCGAGCGAAAGAAAGAGAGGGAAGCAAGAGAUUUCACGCCGUGAGUCAUGAUACUGUUUAACGCGUACACAAUUAUUAUGUAUCACGUUAAUUUAUUAUUAACCUAGACACAUUCAACGUCAUCCUCUGUCUCUCCGUAAAAGAUGUUCUACACUAAAUUUUUCACAACUUAUUCGUUCGUUUUGUUAAAUUUGUCUCGUUAAACAACUUGGUGUUCUCGUUUAUAAAAAAUUGACGAGAGAAUCCUCAAAAAAAAAAAAGUUGGAAAAGAGAUAAUAUCGAGAGAUAAUUUAAAACUCUUUUUUAAAAUUAUUUGAAAUCUCUAUAAAUUAAACAACGACGACCUUGUUUAUACGUAAACAUUAAAUACGAUAAAACUUGUAUUACAUAAAAGAAUAUAUAGAUGUCUAUAUGAAUCACGAACAUACGUCAUUGUAUAAUUUAUAUGAUACGUUCAAAUAAAAAGAUAAUGAAUCAUUGGGGGAAAAUAAAAUUAGUAUCGUUAUCUUACAUGAAAUAUCGAUCGGCUAUUUUCGAUUACGAAAAAUGUAUUUACGGAAAAAAAAAAAAAAAAAAAAAAAAAAAAAAAAAAAGUAAAGAAAUAAAUAAAAAAAAAAAAAGAAACAAUAAAUUAUCUCCAUAAGAAAAAUACUGAAAAUCUUUUCUACUGCAGGAAAAAUAAUGCCAUCUGAUGGCCACUUGUUGUAUUAGCAGUUAUUAUUGCUCCUUCGUUAAACGCACUUGCAUAAUGACACUUCAAGUCCAGGUUUUUCCAAGUUUGUGGAAAAGAGUUUUUCAUUUAGCAUUCCUUUAAUCUUUCUGGAAAGAACACCAACAGUGUUCUUUCAUUAUCACUACCAAAAAAAAAAAAAAAAAAAAA
RNAcentral lists this long non-coding RNA (4898 nucleotides) under Apis mellifera (honey bee). Its description in RNAcentral is "uncharacterized LOC113219098". Lineage: Eukaryota; Metazoa; Arthropoda; Insecta; Hymenoptera; Apidae. The record is from RNAcentral.